This is a transfer RNA of Cavia porcellus (domestic guinea pig), 64 nucleotides long. It matches the Rfam family "tRNA". Rfam says of the family: Transfer RNA (tRNA) molecules are approximately 80 nucleotides in length. Lineage: Eukaryota; Metazoa; Chordata; Mammalia; Rodentia; Caviidae. The record is from Rfam.
GGGGAUUUAGCUCAGUGGCAUAAGCACCUGCCUUGCAAGCAGGCAGUCAUGAUUUCAAUCCCUG